GGGUUGUGAGGUUAAGCGACCAAGCGUACACGGUGGAUGCCCUGGCAGUCAGAGGCGAUGAAGGACGUGCUAAUCUGCGAAAAGCGCCGGUAAGGUGAUAUGAACCGUUAUAACCGGCGAUGUCCGAAUGGGGAAACCCAGUGUGACUCGUCACACUAUCAUUAACUGAAUCCAUAGGUUAAUGAGGCGAACCGGGGGAACUGAAACAUCUAAGUACCCCGAGGAAAAGAAAUCAACCGAGAUUCCCCCAGUAGCGGCGAGCGAACGGGGAGGAGCCCAGAGCCUGAAUCAGCAUGUGUGUUAGUGGAAGCGUCUGGAAAGGCGCGCGAUACAGGGUGACAGCCCCGUACACAAAAGCGCACAUGCUGUGAGCUCGAUGAGUAGGGCGGGACACGUGGUAUCCUGUCUGAAUAUGGGGGGACCAUCCUCCAAGGCUAAAUACUCCUGACUGACCGAUAGUGAACCAGUACCGUGAGGGAAAGGCGAAAAGAACCCCGGCGAGGGGAGUGAAACAGAACCUGAAACCGUGUACGUACAAGCAGUGGGAGCCUCUCUUUAUGGGGGGUGACUGCGUACCUUUUGUAUAAUGGGUCAGCGACUUAUAUUCUGUAGCAAGGUUAACCGCAUAGGGGAGCCGAAGGGAAACCGAGUCUUAACCGGGCGUUAAGUUGCAGGGUAUAGACCCGAAACCCGGUGAUCUAGCCAUGGGCAGGUUGAAGGUUGGGUAACACUAACUGGAGGACCGAACCGACUAAUGUUGAAAAAUUAGCGGAUGACCUGUGGCUGGGGGUGAAAGGCCAAUCAAACCGGGAGAUAGCUGGUUCUCCCCGAAAGCUAUUUAGGUAGCGCCUCGUGAACUCAUCUCCGGGGGUAGAGCACUGUUUCGGCUAGGGGGCCAUCCCGGCUUACCAACCCGAUGCAAACUGCGAAUACCGGAGAAUGUUAUCACGGGAGACACACGGCGGGUGCUAACGUCCGUCGUGAAGAGGGAAACAACCCAGACCGCCAGCUAAGGUCCCAAAGUCAUGGUUAAGUGGGAAACGAUGUGGGAAGGCCCAGACAGCCAGGAUGUUGGCUUAGAAGCAGCCAUCAUUUAAAGAAAGCGUAAUAGCUCACUGGUCGAGUCGGCCUGCGCGGAAGAUGUAACGGGGCUAAACCAUGCACCGAAGCUGCGGCAGCGACACUUUAGUGUUGUUGGGUAGGGGAGCGUUCUGUAAGCCGUUGAAGGUGUCCUGUGAGGGGUGCUGGAGGUAUCAGAAGUGCGAAUGCUGACAUAAGUAACGAUAAAGCGGGUGAAAAGCCCGCUCGCCGGAAGACCAAGGGUUCCUGUCCAACGUUAAUCGGGGCAGGGUGAGUCGACCCCUAAGGCGAGGCCGAAAGGCGUAGUCGAUGGGAAACGGGUUAAUAUUCCCGUACUUGGUGUUACUGCGAAGGGGGGACGGAGAAGGCUAUGUUGGCCGGGCGACGGUAGUCCCGGUUUAAGCGUGUAGGCUGGUUUUCCAGGCAAAUCCGGAAAAUCAAGGCUGAGGCGUGAUGACGAGGCACCACGGUGCUGAAGCAACAAAUGCCCUGCUUCCAGGAAAAGCCUCUAAGCAUCAGGUAACAUCAAAUCGUACCCCAAACCGACACAGGUGGUCAGGUAGAGAAUACCAAGGCGCUUGAGAGAACUCGGGUGAAGGAACUAGGCAAAAUGGUGCCGUAACUUCGGGAGAAGGCACGCUGACACGUAGGUGAAGUGAUUUACUCAUGGAGCUGAAGUCAGUCGAAGAUACCAGCUGGCUGCAACUGUUUAUUAAAAACACAGCACUGUGCAAACACGAAAGUGGACGUAUACGGUGUGACGCCUGCCCGGUGCCGGAAGGUUAAUUGAUGGGGUCAGCGCAAGCGAAGCUCCUGAUCGAAGCCCCGGUAAACGGCGGCCGUAACUAUAACGGUCCUAAGGUAGCGAAAUUCCUUGUCGGGUAAGUUCCGACCUGCACGAAUGGCGUAAUGAUGGCCAGGCUGUCUCCACCCGAGACUCAGUGAAAUUGAACUCGCUGUGAAGAUGCAGUGUACCCGCGGCAAGACGGAAAGACCCCGUGAACCUUUACUAUAGCUUGACACUGAACAUUGAGCCUUGAUGUGUAGGAUAGGUGGGAGGCUUUGAAGCGUGGACGCCAGUCUGCGUGGAGCCGACCUUGAAAUACCACCCUUUAAUGUUUGAUGUUCUAACGUGGACCCGUAAUCCGGGUUGCGGACAGUGUCUGGUGGGUAGUUUGACUGGGGCGGUCUCCUCCUAAAGAGUAACGGAGGAGCACGAAGGUUGGCUAAUCCUGGUCGGACAUCAGGAGGUUAGUGCAAUGGCAUAAGCCAGCUUGACUGCGAGCGUGACGGCGCGAGCAGGUGCGAAAGCAGGUCAUAGUGAUCCGGUGGUUCUGAAUGGAAGGGCCAUCGCUCAACGGAUAAAAGGUACUCCGGGGAUAACAGGCUGAUACCGCCCAAGAGUUCAUAUCGACGGCGGUGUUUGGCACCUCGAUGUCGGCUCAUCACAUCCUGGGGCUGAAGUAGGUCCCAAGGGUAUGGCUGUUCGCCAUUUAAAGUGGUACGCGAGCUGGGUUUAGAACGUCGUGAGACAGUUCGGUCCCUAUCUGCCGUGGGCGCUGGAAGACUGAGGGGGGCUGCUCCUAGUACGAGAGGACCGGAGUGGACGCAUCACUGGUGUUCGGGUUGUCAUGCCAAUGGCACUGCCCGGUAGCUAAAUGCGGAAAAGAUAAGUGCUGAAAGCAUCUAAGCACGAAACUUGCCCCGAGAUGAGUCUUCCCUGAGACUUUGAGUCUCCUGAAGGAACGUUAAAGACGAUGACGUUGAUAGGCCGGGUGUGUAAGCGCAGCGAUGCGUUGAGCUAACCGGUACUAAUGAACCGUGAGGCUUAACCUUACAACGCCGAAGCUGUU
Molecule: ribosomal RNA, 2933 nt
Filed under: Salmonella enterica subsp. diarizonae serovar 50:k:z str. MZ0080
Lineage: Bacteria; Pseudomonadati; Pseudomonadota; Gammaproteobacteria; Enterobacterales; Enterobacteriaceae
Description: bacterial LSU rRNA
Rfam family: Bacterial large subunit ribosomal RNA
Source: RNAcentral